AACGAACGCUGGCGGCAUGCCUAACACAUGCAAGUCGAACGAACCUUUCAUACUUAGUGGCGCACGGGUGAGUAACACGUGGUAACGUGCCUUUAGGUUCGGAAUAACUCAGUGAAACUUGUCCUAAUACCGCAUUUGACCUUCGGAGGAAAGAUCAAUCGCUUUUAGAGCGUCCCACGUCUGUUUAGCUAAUUUGUUGAGGUAAUGGUUCACCAAGGCUCCGCUCAGUAUCUGCUCUGAGAGGAGGAUCAGCCACACUGGGACAGAGACACGGCGCAAACUCCUACGGGAGGCAGCAGUGGGGAAUCUUGCGCAAUGGGCGAAAGCCUGACGCAGCCAUGCCGCGUGAAUGAUGAAGGUCUUAGGAUUGUAAAAUUCUUUGGCCGGGGACGAUAAUGACGGUACCCGGAGAAGAAGCCCCGGCUAACUUCGUG
RNAcentral lists this ribosomal RNA (434 nucleotides) under uncultured bacterium. RNAcentral describes it as "partial 16S ribosomal RNA". It matches the Rfam family "Bacterial small subunit ribosomal RNA", at positions 29 to 507 of the family's 1533-position model. The record is from RNAcentral.